RNAcentral lists this ribosomal RNA (480 nucleotides) under uncultured bacterium. RNAcentral's name for it is "bacterial SSU rRNA". It matches the Rfam family "Bacterial small subunit ribosomal RNA", at positions 49 to 518 of the family's 1533-position model. The record is from RNAcentral.
UAACACAUGCAAGUCGAGGGGCGAGCGGGGUGUAGCAAUACACUGCCGGCGACCGGCGCACGGGUGCGUAACGCGUAUGCAACCUGCCCGCGACAGGGGUAUAACGGAGGGAAACUUCCACUAAUCCCCCGUAACACCCGGUGCCGCAUGGCACUGGGUUGAAAGGAGCGAUCCGGUCGCGGAUGGGCAUGCGUGACAUUAGCUAGUUGGCGGGGCAACGGCCCACCAAGGCUGCGAUGUCUAGGGGAGCUGAGAGGCUAAUCCCCCACACUGGUACUGAGACACGGACCAGACUCCUACGGGAGGCAGCAGUGAGGAAUAUUGGUCAAUGGUCGGAAGACUGAACCAGCCAUGCCGCGUGGAGGAAAAGAAGGCCCUACGGGUCGUAAACUUCUUUUGCCGCAGAGUAAUAAGCGGGGUGCGCCCCGUGAUGAGAGUAUGCGGCGAAUAAGCAUCGGCUAACUCCGUGCCAGCAGCAGC